UUUUAAAAUUUUAAAAUUUAAUUUUGAUUUUUAAAAUUUAAAAGUUUAUAUUUUAAAUUUUAAAAUAUAAAUAUAAAAUAUAAAAAUUCUAAUUCUAAUAUAAAGAAAAGAAUAAUAUUAUUAUUUUUUAUUUAUAACUAUCCACUUUAAUUCUUAUUCCAUCUUACCUAACCAAACGCAAUUUUUCUUAUUUUCAGGAAUAACUCAAUUUUCAUCUAAACGCAAAAUUGAUCUAAUCCCUGCUUAUACCUCAAUUUAUAUCUAUCCCCGGAAUACCCACUUUUUGCUUAUUCUCGAACCAAACGAUACCUGAGUGUAUGUAUUAGAAUUAAUCGAGUUUAAUAUAUUUUUCACUCUAGUUAUGUGUGCUAGAGUGAGGAUCUAGCUAAGCCCUAAGGUAUUAUGUUAGGAUUCGUCUGAUUUGAUUUGCAUGAGCUCUAAGUAUAUGUAUUAGAGCUCGAUCGGAUAUGGUUUCACUCUAGGUAGAUGUGCUAGAGCAAAAGGCUGAUUAGACCCUAAGUGUAUGUGUUAGGACUAGUCGAGCUUGAUUUGGCUUUCACUCUAGGAAUAUGUGCUAGAAUAAAAGAUUGACUGGACCCUAAAGGAUAUGUGUUAAGGGUUAGUCGAAUGAGCUCUAAGUAUAUGUGUUAGAGUUCGAAUGAACUUGAUAUAUAAUUUUUGACUGAAUUUUAAGUGUAUAAUUUAAAACUUUGUCGAUUUGGAGAUGAUCUUGCCUUAGUUAUAUGUGCUAAGGCGAUUGACUUAGUUCUAAAUAUAUGUAUUCGGGGUAGUCGAUAUUGCAUUUGAUUUUUACUCUAGAUAUAUAAGCUAGAGUAAAGAAAAGGUUCAUGAUGAACUUUGGACAUGAGCUUGAUGUAUGGUUCAUGAGAUUUGGUGUAUAGGAUUUGAACAUCAUUCAGUUCAUGAGGUUAAGGUAUAGUUCAUGUGGUUUAUGAGAUUUGGAUAUGGUUUGGUGUAUGGCUUAUGAGGUUUGGUGUAUGGGAUUUGGUUUAUGAACUUGAAUAUGGUUUAUGAAUUUGGUGUAUGAACUUGGUUUAGAGACUUGAUUUAUGAUUCAUGAACUUGGUUCAUUUGGUUCAUGAACUUCGUUCAUGACUCAUAGGGUUUGAUAUAUGGUUCAUGAUAUUUGGUUCAUGAACUUGGGUAUGAUUCAUGGAUUUGGUUUAUGGUUUAUGGACUUGGGUAUGGUUCAGGGACUUGGUUUAUGUUUUAUGGAUUUGGUGUAUGAACUUGAUUUAUGGACUUGGUUUAUGGUUCAUGAACUUGGUUCAUUUGGUUCAUAAGAUUGGUUCAUGACUCAUAGAGUUUGAUAUAUGGUUCAUGAGAUUUGGUUCAUGAACUUGGGUUCAUGAGAUUUGGUUCAUGACUUGGGUAUGGUUUAUGGAUUUGGGUAUGGUUCAGAGACUUGGUUUAUGGUUUAUAGAUUUGGUGUAUGAACUUCAUUUAUGGACUUGCCUCAUAGUUCAUGAACUUGGUUCAUUUGGUUUAUGAGAUUGGUUCAUGACUCAUAGGGUUUGAUGUAUGGUUCAUGAUAUCUGGUUCAUGAACUUGGGUAUGGUCUAUGAGAUAUAGUAUAUAGUUUAUAGGAUUUGGUGUAUCGUUCGAGAGAUUUUGUUCAUGACCUUGGUGUAUGGUUUAAGAGAUUUGGUUCAUGAACUUGAUGUAUGGUUCAUGAGAUUUGGUUCAUGAACUUGGUGUAUGGUUCAUGGGAUUUGGUUUACGAACUUGGGUAGCGUUCAUGAACUUGGUGUAUGGUUUAUAGCGUUUGGUUUAUGAACCUGGGUAUGGUUCGUAGUGUUUGGUUCACGAAUUUGAUUCAUGGUUUAUGGGAUUUGGUUUAUGAACUCGGGAAUGGUUUAUAGGGUUUGGUUCAUGAAUCUGGGUAUGGUUCAUGGUAUUUGGUUCAUGAACUUGGUUCAUGUUUCAUGAGAUUUGGUUCAUGAACUUGGUUCAUGUUUCAUGAGAUUUGGUUCAUGAACUUGGUUCAUGAUUCAGGAGGUUUGGUUCAUGAACUUGAUUUAUAUUUCAUGAGAUUUGGUUCAUGAGUCCAAGUUGGAAGUUGGGUUUGGGUUCUAUUCGUGGUUCGGAUUGGAUUUGAGUUUGAGUUUAUUCGUGGACUGAGUUGGAUUUGGGUUUAGAUUUUGUAGGUUUUGGGCUUUUAUGUGGACUUGAUUGGAUUUGGGUUUGGGUUUAGGUUUCAGUUUUGGCUUUCUUGAUUGGAUUUGGAUUUUUUGGGUUUAGGUUUAGGUUUUGGUUUUGGGUUUUCAUUUGUGGACUUGAUUGGAUUUGGGUUUUUAUUUGUAGAUUGUGUUUGGUUUUAAAUUUUUAUUUGUGGACUAGAUUUGAUUUUGGAUUUUUAUUUGUGGACUGGAUUUGAUUUUGGGUUUUUUAUUUAUGGACUGGUUUUGUAUUUGAAUUUUUAUUUGUGGACUGUGUUUGUAUUUAUUUUUGUUUGGAUUUAAGAUCCGAAGAAGGCUUCUUUAGACUUAUCCAAGUUUGAAUUUGUGAUCCGAAACAGUUCCUUUUUUUGAAAUUUGC
Molecule: long non-coding RNA, 2559 nt
Filed under: Ananas comosus (pineapple)
Lineage: Eukaryota; Viridiplantae; Streptophyta; Magnoliopsida; Poales; Bromeliaceae
Description: long non-coding RNA (ACOM_LNC024744)
Source: RNAcentral